UCGCUAAGCUUCAGAUGGCCAUUAAUUUUAUCCAUCAUUUGUAUCGAUACAGGUUCUUUUUAUCAUUAUUAUUUUGUUUUUAAUAACUCAAAGCUUCUUUUACUUACGUGUUUCUAUGUACCUAUGGUUUAAAGGUGGUCAAAUGAAAAAAAGAGAGUAAUGUUUCCAUGUGGAUCAGAUGUUCAAAUCUCAGAAGACACCAGAGUUGAUAACUCUGCUGGUCACUAGAGUGGUUGUUAUAUUCUCAAGGUUGUUGGCUUGGAUACUGCUCACAUUAUGGAUUUAAAUCAUCUUGGAAGAGGGAGUGGUCAAAGAGUUUUAUUUUUCUAUA
RNAcentral lists this long non-coding RNA (331 nucleotides) under Capsella grandiflora. RNAcentral describes it as "long non-coding RNA (CGRA_LNC001658)". The record is from RNAcentral. Lineage: Eukaryota; Viridiplantae; Streptophyta; Magnoliopsida; Brassicales; Brassicaceae.